Molecule: transfer RNA, 135 nt
Filed under: Candidatus Woesearchaeota archaeon
Lineage: Archaea; Nanobdellati; Candidatus Woesearchaeota
Description: tRNA-Arg
Rfam family: tRNA
About the family: Transfer RNA (tRNA) molecules are approximately 80 nucleotides in length.
Source: RNAcentral
GGGCCUGUAGCCUAGCCUGGAUACCUGUAAACUCUUGAAUUAAGUGGUUUACAUGUAAUGCAAAUAGGGCGACAGCCUUCUAAGCCGUGCUUAUUAUCGCUGAAUAGGUCGUGGGUUCGAAUCCCAUCAGGCCCG